AUAAAUAAAUAAAUAAAAGAGGAACCAAAACUAAGGGCCAUAUUCGACUUUUAGAUAUAUCUAAUUAAAAUUAUUUGAUAACAGGAUUUUAUAUUAAUCCAUGAACCAUUUGCUCAAAUCAAUGGAAGUAUGAAACAAAUGCGAGAUUUAGACACUGACCUAGGCAAGAAUAGACUGAGCAGUGAAUUAAGUAAGGUGGGACAAACCAAAAGUAAUUUAUAUACACAUCAUUCCUUACAUAUCUACUUAAUUGUAGAUAUCAAGACACUACUACUUACUCCAAAUGACUUAAAGAGAUAUAAACACAUCAUUUUGCACAAUUUAUCAAGGGAUUAUUUGCUAAAUUUUAUAAAAACGUAGAUAUAAACCACAUUAUUUGCUAUCAG
RNAcentral lists this unclassified non-coding RNA (386 nucleotides) under Hevea brasiliensis (rubber tree). The record is from RNAcentral. Lineage: Eukaryota; Viridiplantae; Streptophyta; Magnoliopsida; Malpighiales; Euphorbiaceae.